RNAcentral lists this non-coding RNA (24 nucleotides) under Rattus norvegicus (Norway rat). Lineage: Eukaryota; Metazoa; Chordata; Mammalia; Rodentia; Muridae. The record is from RNAcentral.
UGCCUCUUCACCACAGCAGCCUCC